GUGGGGAAUAUUGGACAAUGGGGGGAACCCUGAUCCAGCCAUGCCGCGUGUGUGAAGAAGGCCUUUUGGUUGUAAAGCACUUUAAGCGAGGAGGAGGCUACCGAGAUUAAUACUCUUGGAUAGUGGACGUUACUCGCAGAAUAAGCACCGGCUAACUCUGUGCCAGCAGCCGCGGUAAUACAGAGGGUGCAAGCGUUAAUCGGAUUUACUGGGCGUAAAGCGCACGUAGGUGGCCAAUUAAGUCAAAUGUGAAAUCCCCGAGCUUAACUUGGGAAUUGCAGUCGAUACUGGUUGGCUAGAGUAUGGGAGAGGAUGGUAGAAGUCCAGGUGUAGCGGUGAAAUGCGUAGAGAUCUGGAGGAAUACCGAUGGCGAAGGCAGCCAUCUGGCCUAAUACUGACACUGAGGUGCGAAAGCAUGGGGAGCAAACAGGAUUAGAAACCCGAGUAGUCC
RNAcentral lists this ribosomal RNA (451 nucleotides) under uncultured bacterium. Its description in RNAcentral is "partial 16S ribosomal RNA". It matches the Rfam family "Bacterial small subunit ribosomal RNA", at positions 354 to 796 of the family's 1533-position model. The record is from RNAcentral.